GUUGGACAUUAAUAAGGUUAUACCCAGGUUACAAAGGAUGGAUAUGCAUCAAAGAGCAUUGGAGAUCCAUAUGAGGUAUAAUUAUCUUUCAUAUAAUACCUUGAGUCCCUCACAAGAGACUUAUUCAUUGCCCGUAUGCUCAUAGCAUCUUGAGAAAAAUUCCCGAUAUUAGGGGGAGAUUAAUACCACAAAGAAUGCCAGGAAUAAGAACAGAAUGUCACAUACAUUCAUACUCUAUCCUCAUAUCCACGUACCACAGAUCUGAACUCUUAUUCAGAACAUCUUGUAAUUACAAUAUAUUGUAAAUAAUCUGCCAGAUGCAUUUACUCGUCAUAAAGGUGUCAUCAAAUCCUAUAUUUGUACUAGAAAUGUACCAGAACAAGUAGAGGUACCAAAUAAAACCACUCAGCUCCCAAAUCAAAUAAGAGGGGGAGAAGUACGAUCACAAAGGAUAAUGCUUCUUACAAGCUACCGCGGAAAUAGAGAAAUCCAUCCUCCAAGACAGUAAAUGCAAAUCAACAUCAAAUUGAUAGAUACCUUAUGGAUAUUCACUAUCCAAAUGCCUAUGGAUGCUCAGCAUCCAAAUGCCAAGUACAAAUGUGUACACAAAUUCAGGCACUGGGU
RNAcentral lists this long non-coding RNA (624 nucleotides) under Setaria viridis. Its description in RNAcentral is "long non-coding RNA (SVIR_LNC008612)". The record is from RNAcentral. Lineage: Eukaryota; Viridiplantae; Streptophyta; Magnoliopsida; Poales; Poaceae.